UGGGGAAUAUUGGACAAUGGGCGAAAGCCUGAUCCAGCAAUGCCGCGUGUGUGAAGAAGGUCUUCGGAUUGUAAAGCACUUUCGACGGGGACGAUGAUGACGGUACCCGUAGAAGAAGCCCCGGNUAACUUCGUGCUAG
This 139-nucleotide ribosomal RNA is filed under the name uncultured bacterium. RNAcentral describes it as "partial 16S ribosomal RNA". It matches the Rfam family "Bacterial small subunit ribosomal RNA", at positions 355 to 511 of the family's 1533-position model. The record is from RNAcentral.